UACGGAGGGUGCGAGCGUUAAUCGGAAUUACUGGGCGUAAAGGGUGCGUAGGUGGUUUAGUAAGAUAUAUGUGAAGUCCCUGGGCUCAACCUGGGAAGGUCAUAUAAGACUGCUAGACUCGAGUAUGGGAGAGGGUAGUGGAAUUUCCGGUGUAGCGGUGAAAUGCGUAGAGAUCGGAAGGAACACCAGUGGCGAAGGCGGCUACCUGGCCUAAUACUGACACUGAGGCACGAAAGCGUGGGGAGCAAACAGGAUUAGAUACCCGGGUA
Molecule: ribosomal RNA, 269 nt
Filed under: uncultured bacterium
Lineage: Bacteria
Description: partial 16S ribosomal RNA
Rfam family: Bacterial small subunit ribosomal RNA
Source: RNAcentral